AUGCAGGAUUAGUUACAAUAUAGCUGGGCAGUGCUGUGUUGUCGUUCCCCCUGCUAAAAGUAAGUUGAUUCCUUCUAUUCCUGGCUGUUCAUAUAGCAGACAGGAACGCUUGGUCUCAAACAA
Molecule: non-coding RNA, 123 nt
Organism: Xenopus laevis (African clawed frog)
Lineage: Eukaryota; Metazoa; Chordata; Amphibia; Anura; Pipidae
Source: Rfam